Long non-coding RNA from Cucumis melo (muskmelon), 1067 nucleotides. RefSeq lists it as uncharacterized. The record is from RefSeq and is a predicted model, not a curated record. Lineage: Eukaryota; Viridiplantae; Streptophyta; Magnoliopsida; Cucurbitales; Cucurbitaceae. The transcript has 2 exons.
UAUCGUGCUAAACAAUUUUUUUUUGCCGCCACUCGCCUUGAUGGCGGGAACCAAUGAUCGAGGGAAACACCAUUGGAACGCCGUAGUAGAGAGAGGAAGAGAGAUUUGGUAGAAUGGCGUAGUGAACAGAAACCAGUAAUUUGUUUCUCAAGAGCCAGCCGCUUCGAGGCCUUGUGCAAUGGUUGAUCAUCGAUGAAAUGAAGCUCUUCGUGGCCUCGUUUUAGAGCUGAUGAUGAAUGUAUGAGUGCUUGUACUGCGGGAGUCUGUGUAUUGGAAAGGUUGAGCCGAAGAACAGAGAGGAAUCGGCAACGUUUUCUUAGGAGCUGAUUCCUAAUGGAUGACGUCGAUGAAGUUGGUCGAAUUCUUGUUUUAGGUUUUUGCAUUUUUCUUACUUGAGUCUGGAAACGUAUAUUUCGGGAUACGAAUUUGUGAGCCUUUUUGGUUUGUGAAAAUUUACCAUUCGUUCUGAGUACUACUACUAGCAUAUGGAUACUCGGACCGUGGUUGCUGUUCCUACUGAAAGCACUUUUAUCUUUUGAUUUCCUUUCCAAUAGUUUGUCAUAUCACAUCAUCGCUUCAGUGGUUUCAUUUUCCUAAGUUUGAUGAUUCGCUUGCAGACUUGAAAACGUCGAAAGAAGAGAAGACAGAGGAACUGUUCGAAAAAAAACAAUUGGACGGGCUGUUGAUAUCAUGGAUCCACGGGAGUUCUCACAUCCAAAACGCUGAAUAAGUCGUUAGUUAGCAGUUUUAAAAUUCUUUCAUUUUGCCUACGUAACUUCCAUUCUGCUCUAACUUUGUAGAAGAUGGAUCUUAGGCCGAAUCUCGCAUCUAUGGAAGAAUAUUAGUAUUAGAUCAGUCUAUGUUUAAGCUUACAAUUUAGGGGAAGUUUAAAUUUGUUAUUAAAUCACCAUGGAUUCAAAAGUAUACUAUAUGCUUAGCCGCCAGGACAGAUAUUACUACUCCCAAGUCUCUCUGUUAUUGUCAAUUUAUGUAAGAUCAAAGGGUGAACAUGGCUUGAGCCUUGAAGCACUAUAGUUUUUCUCCAUCUUCUUUAUCAAGUGUACGAA